This 487-nucleotide ribosomal RNA is filed under the name uncultured bacterium. Its description in RNAcentral is "partial 16S ribosomal RNA". It matches the Rfam family "Bacterial small subunit ribosomal RNA", at positions 30 to 507 of the family's 1533-position model. The record is from RNAcentral.
UUGCACGCUGGCGGCAUGCUUUACCCCUGCCAGUCGAACGGCAGCACAGGGAGCUUGCUCCUGGGUGGCGAGUGGCGAACGGGUGAGUAAUGUAUCGGAACGUGCCUGGUAGUGGGGGAUAACUACUCGAAAGAGUGGCUAAUACCGCAUGAGAUCUUUGGAUGAAAGCGGGGGACCUUCGGGCCUCGUGCUACUGGAGCGGCCGAUAUCAGAUUAGGUUGUUGGUGGGGUAAAGGCCUACCAAGCCUGCGAUCUGUAGCUGGUCUGAGAGGACGACCAGCCACACUGGGACUGAGACACGGCCCAGACUCCUACGGGAGGCAGCAGUGGGGAAUUUUGGACAAUGGGCGCAAGCCUGAUCCAGCAAUGCCGCGUGCAGGACGAAGGCCUUCGGGUUGUAAACUGCUUUUGUACAGAACGAAAAGUCUCUGGCUAAUAUCUAGAGAUCAUGACGGUACUGUAAGAAUAAGCACCGGCUAACUACGUG